ACAAGUUCAACGGCCGCGGUAUUUUGACCGUGCAAAGGUAGCGCAAUCACUUGUCUUUUAAAUAGAGACCUGUAUGAAUGGCUAAACGAGGGCUUAACUGUCUCCCUUUUCAGGUCAGUGAAAUUGAUCUAUCCGUGCAGAAGCGGGUAUAACAAUACAAGACGAGAAGACCCUUUGGAGCUUAAGGUACAAAACUCAACCACGUCAAGCAACUUAAUAAAAAGUAAAAACUUUGUGAAACAUGAGAUUCUACCUUCGGUUGGGGCGACCGCGGAGGAAAAAAAAGCCUCCAAGUGGACCGGGACAAACUCCUAAAACCAAGAGAAACAUCUCUAAGCCACAGAACAUCUGACCAAACAUGAUCCGGCCACCAGGACCGAUCAACGAACCAAGUUACCCUAGGGAUAACAGCGCAAUCCCCUCCCAGAGUCCAUAUCGACGAGGGGGUUUACGACCUCGAUGUUGGAUCAGGACAUCCUAAUGGUGCAGCCGCUAUUAAGGGUUCGUUUGUUCAACGAUUAAAGUCCUACGUGAUC
This 536-nucleotide ribosomal RNA is filed under the name Tor tor (Tor mahseer). RNAcentral's name for it is "partial 16S ribosomal RNA". It matches the Rfam family "Bacterial large subunit ribosomal RNA", at positions 1918 to 2605 of the family's 2925-position model. The record is from RNAcentral. Lineage: Eukaryota; Metazoa; Chordata; Actinopteri; Cypriniformes; Cyprinidae.